GACGAACGCUGGCGGCGUGCUUAACACAUGCAAGUCGAGCGGAAAGGCCCUUCGGGGUACUCGAGCGGCGAACGGGUGAGUAACACGUGAGUAACCUGCCCCAGACUUUGGGAUAACCCUCGGAAACAGGGGCUAAUACCGGAUACGACACAGCUUCGCAUGGGGUCUGUGUGGAAAGUUUUUCGGUUUGGGAUGGGCUCGCGGCCUAUCAGCUUGUUGGUGGGGUGAUGGCCUACCAAGGCGACGACGGGUAGCCGGCCUGAGAGGGCGACCGGCCACACUGGGACUGAGACACGGCCCAGACUCCUACGGGAGGCAGCAGUGGGGAAUAUUGCACAAUGGGCGGAAGCCUGAUGCAGCGACGCCGCGUGAGGGAUGACGGCCUUCGGGUUGUAAACCUCUUUCAGCAGGGACGAAGCGUAAGUGACGGUACCUGCAGAAGAAGCGCCGGCCAACUACGUG
Molecule: ribosomal RNA, 462 nt
Filed under: uncultured bacterium
Lineage: Bacteria
Description: partial 16S ribosomal RNA
Rfam family: Bacterial small subunit ribosomal RNA
Source: RNAcentral